AACGAACGCUGGCGGCGUGGAUAAGACAUGCAAGUCGAACGAAGCUUAUUUUGUAGCAAUACGAGAUAAGUUCAGUGGCGUAAGGGUGCGUAACACGUGAGUCAUCUGCCGGGAAGUGGGGGAUAGCUCGCCGAAAGGCGAAUUAAUACCGCAUGUGAUCGCAAGAUCAAAGCAGCAAUGCGCUUCCUGAUGAGCUCGCGGCCUAUCAGCUAGUUGGCGGGGUAACGGCCCACCAAGGCAGUGACGGGUAGCUGGUCUGAGAGGACGACCAGCCACACUGGAACUGAGACACGGUCCAGACACCUACGGGUGGCAGCAGUCGAGAAUUUUUCUCAAUGGGGGAAACCCUGAAGGAGCGACGCCGCGUGGAGGAUGAAGGUCUUCGGAUUGUAAACUCCUGUCAUCUGGGAACAAAGCCGCAAGGUGUGAUAGUACCAGAAGAGGAAGAGACGGCUAACUCUGUGCCAGCAGCCGCGGUAA
RNAcentral lists this ribosomal RNA (480 nucleotides) under uncultured bacterium. RNAcentral's name for it is "partial 16S ribosomal RNA". It matches the Rfam family "Bacterial small subunit ribosomal RNA", at positions 29 to 523 of the family's 1533-position model. The record is from RNAcentral.